GAAAACUUACCUCUACACAAAUGUAUACGAUGAAGCGUUGUGUAGAGG
The sequence is a regulatory RNA element, 48 nucleotides long. It matches the Rfam family "uup RNA". The record is from Rfam.